RNAcentral lists this unclassified non-coding RNA (372 nucleotides) under Hevea brasiliensis (rubber tree). Lineage: Eukaryota; Viridiplantae; Streptophyta; Magnoliopsida; Malpighiales; Euphorbiaceae. The record is from RNAcentral.
AUCACAUUGAAAGCACCCUGUGUAUCUAGCAUGGAGCACUCAACCUCCAAGUAUAAAAUGUUGAAUUACAAAUCAUUCAAUUUGCUUUUGAUUUUAGAUUUCCUCCUGUUAUCUCAGAAACUAAAAGCAUACAUAUUCUGCCAUAACAUGCUAGUAAUUGAAACAGAAUGAUUUGAUGUAUUAACAUGGCCUGUAAUUUGUUUGCCUAUAUUAAGCCUGUGAGAUACUGCCAGAGUUGAGACAGAAGUUGCAUUGUCAUUUUCCUUCAUAUGUGUAACAUCGGGUUCAACAAUAGAGUGAUCUUAUUACUCUGAGUUUUGACUCUUUUUUGGAUGUUAGUUCUGAGUCAAAACUAGAUAUGACGGCUUAGAA